CACAUGACUCUCGGCAACGGAUAUCUCGGCUCUUGCAUCGAUGAAGAACGUAGCAAAAUGCGAUACCUGGUGUGAAUUGCAGAAUCCCGUGAACCAUCGAGUUUUUGAACGCAAGUUGCGCCCGAGGCCUUGUGGCCGAGGGCACGUCUGCCUGGGCGUCACGC
Molecule: ribosomal RNA, 164 nt
Filed under: Cynodon dactylon (Bermuda grass)
Lineage: Eukaryota; Viridiplantae; Streptophyta; Magnoliopsida; Poales; Poaceae
Also listed under: 10 other names
Description: 5.8S ribosomal RNA
Rfam family: 5.8S ribosomal RNA
About the family: 5.8S ribosomal RNA (5.8S rRNA) is a component of the large subunit of the eukaryotic ribosome.
Source: RNAcentral